UACAGAGGGUGCAAGCGUUGCUCGGAAUUAUUGGGCGUAAAGGGUAGGUAGGUGGUCUCGUUUGUCUGGGGUGAAAGCCUUGAGCUUAACUCAAGAAGUGCCUUGGAAACGGCGAGACUAGAAUCUUGGAGAGGGUCGUGGAAUUCCCGGUGUAGCGGUGAAAUGCGUAGAGAUCGGGAGGAACACCAGCGGCGAAGGCGGCGACCUGGACAAGUAUUGACACUCAACUACGAAAGCGUGGGUAGCAAACAGG
RNAcentral lists this ribosomal RNA (253 nucleotides) under uncultured bacterium. Its description in RNAcentral is "partial 16S ribosomal RNA". It matches the Rfam family "Bacterial small subunit ribosomal RNA", at positions 524 to 776 of the family's 1533-position model. The record is from RNAcentral.